GUGCCAGCCGCCGCGGUAAUACGUAGGCAGCGAGCGUUGUUCGGAGUUACUGGGCGUAAAGGGUGUGUAGGCGGUUCACUAAGUUCGGCGUGAAAUCUCCCGGCUUAACUGGGAGGGUGCGUUGAAAACUGGUGGGCUUGAGUAUGGGAGAGGUAAGCGGAAUUCCUGGUGUAGCGGUGAAAUGCGUAGAUAUCAGGAGGAACACCUGUGGUGUAGACAGCUUACUGGACCAUCACUGACGCUGAGACACGAAAGCGUGGGUAGCAAACAGGAUUAGAAACCCCCGUAGUCC
Molecule: ribosomal RNA, 292 nt
Filed under: uncultured bacterium
Lineage: Bacteria
Description: partial 16S ribosomal RNA
Rfam family: Bacterial small subunit ribosomal RNA
Source: RNAcentral